RNAcentral lists this ribosomal RNA (1491 nucleotides) under metagenome. Its description in RNAcentral is "bacterial SSU rRNA". It matches the Rfam family "Bacterial small subunit ribosomal RNA". The record is from RNAcentral.
AGAGUUUGAUCAUGGCUCAGAUUGAACGCUGGCGGCAUGCCUUACACAUGCAAGUCGAACGGCAGCACGGGAGCUUGCUCCUGGUGGCGAGUGGCGAACGGGUGAGUAAUAUAUCGGAACGUACCCUAGAGUGGGGGAUAACGCAGCGAAAGUUGCGCUAAUACCGCAUACGAUCUACGGAUGAAAGUGGGGGAUCGCAAGACCUCAUGCUCAUGGAGCGGCCGAUAUCUGAUUAGCUAGUUGGUAGGGUAAAAGCCUACCAAGGCUUCGAUCAGUAGCUGGUCUGAGAGGACGACCAGCCACACUGGAACUGAGACACGGUCCAGACUCCUACGGGAGGCAGCAGUGGGGAAUUUUGGACAAUGGGCGCAAGCCUGAUCCGGCAAUGCCGCGUGAGUGAAGAAGGCCUUCGGGUUGUAAAGCUCUUUUGUCAGGGAAGAAACGGUGGACUCUAAUACAGAUCACUAAUGACGGUACCUGAAGAAUAAGCACCGGCUAACUACGUGCCAGCAGCCGCGGUAAUACGUAGGGUGCAAGCGUUAAUCGGAAUUACUGGGCGUAAAGCGUGCGCAGGCGGUUUGGUAAGACAGAUGUGAAAUCCCCGGGCUCAACCUGGGAAUUGCAUUUGUGACUGCCCGACUAGAGUGUGUCAGAGGGGGGUAGAAUUCCACGUGUAGCAGUGAAAUGCGUAGAGAUGUGGAGGAAUACCGAUGGCGAAGGCAGCCCCCUGGGAUAACACUGACGCUCAUGCACGAAAGCGUGGGGAGCAAACAGGAUUAGAUACCCUGGUAGUCCACGCCCUAAACGAUGUCUACUAGUUGUUGGGUCUUAAUUGACUUAGUAACGCAGCUAACGCGUGAAGUAGACCGCCUGGGGAGUACGGUCGCAAGAUUAAAACUCAAAGGAAUUGACGGGGACCCGCACAAGCGGUGGAUGAUGUGGAUUAAUUCGAUGCAACGCGAAAAACCUUACCUACCCUUGACAUGUACGGAAUCCUUGAGAGAUCAGGGAGUGCUCGAAAGAGAACCGUAACACAGGUGCUGCAUGGCUGUCGUCAGCUCGUGUCGUGAGAUGUUGGGUUAAGUCCCGCAACGAGCGCAACCCUUGUCAUUAGUUGCUACGAAAGGGCACUCUAAUGAGACUGCCGGUGACAAACCGGAGGAAGGUGGGGAUGACGUCAAGUCCUCAUGGCCCUUAUGGGUAGGGCUUCACACGUCAUACAAUGGUACAUACAGAGGGCCGCCAACCCGCGAGGGGGAGCUAAUCCCAGAAAGUGUAUCGUAGUCCGGAUUGUAGUCUGCAACUCGACUACAUGAAGUUGGAAUCGCUAGUAAUCGCGGAUCAGCAUGUCGCGGUGAAUACGUUCCCGGGUCUUGUACACACCGCCCGUCACACCAUGGGAGCGGGUUUCACCAGAAGUAGGUAGCCUAACCGUAAGGAGGGCGCUUACCACGGAGGGAUUCGUGACUGGGGUGAAGUCGUAACAAGGUA